AUGGCGUGGGCGCCCAGUCGGAACUGUCGAGCUGCGCAUGCGCCCGUCCUCGCCGCGCCGUGCAGCCGGGCAGGAAAGGGGCGGGGCAGGGGGAUGACGAGAGGUCGGCUGAGGCGAGGGAGCGCGCCUGCGCACUGCCUCGAACUCUGCUGCGGUGCGGAGAAUGACGGGAGGCGGAAGUGGGGCGGCUUCCUACUAUGUGCAAGGCAAGGAAAAGGCUGCACUAAUGCUGGUCCUGCAGAGCGGGGAUGCCAACUGGCUGAGCCCCUCUGCUGUGGGGCUGCGUGGCAGGACAAAUGGAACAGAGGACUUGGCUCCAGGAAAGACCAUUAGUUAAGUUCAUAUCCAAGGAUACACCUGUAUAUCCUCUUAGAAACCAGGGAAAACCAAAGUCUGCGGAUGAAGGAAGACACAGAGGCAUUUUUAAGGGACAAAUAGAGGUGAUGGUGGGACAGAAGGAGGCAGUGACACGUAAUCCCCUUCUGGGACUUGCUAAGGACUGUAGACGUGCAAUGGUCACACCUGCCAGCUCACCCAUGUGUCCUGGGGCUUGUUAAUGAGCCCUUUGCUAGAGAUGUAGCUCUCAUUCUGUCAGGAGCUGGAGAGCUUCAGCCCAUUUUCUUCAGUAGUGUGGCUCUCAGUCAUCAGUCACAUCACUCUAAGAAUAAAAUUACAUCCAAAUUAACCCUUCCGUCA
RNAcentral lists this long non-coding RNA (696 nucleotides) under Numida meleagris (helmeted guineafowl). RNAcentral's name for it is "lncRNA (ENSNMEG00000007401.1)". Lineage: Eukaryota; Metazoa; Chordata; Aves; Galliformes; Numididae. The record is from RNAcentral.